AAUGAACGCUGGCGGCGUGCCUAAUACAUGCAAGUCGAGCGAACGGACGAGAAGCUUGCUUCUCUGAUGUUAGCGGCGGACGGGUGAGUAACACGUGGAUAACCUACCUAUAAGACUGGGAUAACUUCGGGAAACCGGAGCUAAUACCGGAUAAUACUUUGAACCGCAUGGUUCAAAAGUGAAAGACGGUCUUGCUGUCACUUAUAGAUGGAUCCGCGCUGCAUUAGCUAGUUGGUAAGGUAACGGCUUACCAAGGCAACGAUGCGUAGCCGACCUGAGAGGGUGAUCGGCCACACUGGAACUGAGACACGGUCCAGACUCCUACGGGAGGCAGCAGUAGGGAAUCUUCCGCAAUGGGCGAAAGCCUGACGGAGCAACGCCGCGUGAGUGAUGAAGGUCUUCGGAUCGUAAAACUCUGUUAUUAGGGAAGAACAUAUGUGUAAGUAACUGUGCACAUCUUGACGGUACCUAAUCAGAAAGCCACGGCUAACUACGUG
RNAcentral lists this ribosomal RNA (497 nucleotides) under uncultured bacterium. Its description in RNAcentral is "partial 16S ribosomal RNA". It matches the Rfam family "Bacterial small subunit ribosomal RNA", at positions 29 to 507 of the family's 1533-position model. The record is from RNAcentral.